GCUGACACAUUCCAGCCAAUCAGCAGCAGACCCUCCCUCCAAGACCCUCCCACCUCCUGGACAGCAUCCAUUUUGAAGCUGCAUUCUUAGUGAGCAGUCCAGGAGGUGGGAGGGUCUGGGAGGGAGGGUCUGCUGCUGAUUGGCUGGAAUGUGUCAG
This 157-nucleotide microRNA precursor is filed under the name Pelobates cultripes (western spadefoot toad). The record is from RNAcentral. Lineage: Eukaryota; Metazoa; Chordata; Amphibia; Anura; Pelobatidae.